This is a non-coding RNA of Mycena amicta, 100 nucleotides long. The record is from the annotation of a GenBank genome assembly. Lineage: Eukaryota; Fungi; Basidiomycota; Agaricomycetes; Agaricales; Mycenaceae.
CCCCGCCUAGCUCAAUCGGAUAGAGCGUCAGACUCUUAAUGUAGUUGACAAGGCGAAUUUGGGAAUCUGAAGGCUGCGAGUUCGACCCUCGCGGUGGGCU